GUGCUCGCUUCGGCAGCACAUAUACUAAAAUUGGAGCGAUACAGACAAGAUUAGCAUGGCCCCUGUGCAAGGAUGACACGCAAAUUCUUAGAUUUAAUUCCAUAUUUUU
Pantherophis guttatus is the source of this 109-nucleotide small nuclear RNA. The record is from RefSeq and is a predicted model, not a curated record. Lineage: Eukaryota; Metazoa; Chordata; Lepidosauria; Squamata; Colubridae.